AGUUGAUUUUACGCAAAGAAUCAAUACAAAAGUGGACGGUCCUGGAUGACAACGACUGCGAAAUAUGUGUGGUUAAUGGGCAAUUGGAAAAAGAAAAUCCUUCCUUUUGCCGAGUAUCAGAAAUAAAUCAUUCUGACUGCGCAACAAAAAUCAAAAUAUGUUGUGCCUGCAUGAGGAAUUCGUACAUAAAUCCAGUCAAGUGUCAGGAGUGCGAUAAAGAGAUCAAAUCUAUCAUAGGAGAUGGAUGGGGCGCAAUUUUAAUAGCUGGAUUCGACAAAGACAACAAUUCGUUCCGAAAUGAUGUGAAUAUGUUUGCACAUGCUAUAUCAUCGAAAGUUCUACCAUCGAUGUGUGUAAGCACUGUGAUCACAAUUGAUUCGGCAACGCAAACAACAAAACCUGUGUCAGUAGGGAUUGAUGAUGCAUUUAAGACGAUUAUGAUACAGAACGUUCACACGUUGGUGUUUCUCUACUCAGGACACCACGACAAAAAACACGGAUUCAAAGUUGGCACCAAAGAAUUUGUCAGCAUGCAACACAUUAACAAAAAAAUACAAGAAUGUACACACGUUAAAAA
Long non-coding RNA from Dreissena polymorpha, 577 nucleotides. RefSeq lists it as uncharacterized. Lineage: Eukaryota; Metazoa; Mollusca; Bivalvia; Myida; Dreissenidae. The transcript has 4 exons. The record is from RefSeq and is a predicted model, not a curated record.